Molecule: long non-coding RNA, 521 nt
Filed under: Homo sapiens (human)
Lineage: Eukaryota; Metazoa; Chordata; Mammalia; Primates; Hominidae
Description: non-protein coding lnc-ZNF280D-4:1
Source: RNAcentral
AUGUGGGACAGCUGAGACAAGGAUGUGUACCCUGCGCCCCCGCGCCACAUGCCAGCACUGUCAUCGCAGACUUGGCUGCCCAACCCCGUCGUCUACCUGAUGAAGGCCUUCGACCUCCUAGUGGACCGACCGGCGACCCUCGUGAGAGUUUAUAGAGUGGCAGCACGCAAAGAACAGGUAUUACUACUACCACCGGCAGUACUGCCGCGUGCUGGGCAUCACUGAGCGCAAGGAGAAGAACAUCUUGUGUCCGAAAUGCAGUGGAGGAGGGACUACAAAGUCGAUCAAGAAAUCGUCAAUAUUAUCCAGGAGCGGCUCAAGACCUGUCAGUAGUGGGAAGAAGACAACUACAGGUAGAACUGGGCCAAGGAAGUGGAGCAUUCACCCAGGUGGCCAAGGCUUACCAGGACCGCUAUCAGGACCUGGGGGCCCACCAUUCUGCCAGGAAGUGCCGGGCCAAACACAAGCAGAGGAUGCUGGAAGAGAGAAAAGCUGCAAAAGAGGCCACCGCUGCCGCCUCC